UGAAACACAACCCAUAAACCUCUACAUUAAGAUGACGAUGAAUCAAAUUAUGCAACAAAGAAUCAGAGUUGAAGAUCUCAUAUAGAACGACCAAAAUCACAAGUUACAAAUCAGAGAACUGAUUGUUCAGAUCCACGAUGUCUUUCUCUCUCUUCACAAGAUCCAGAUUUUAGUGUGGAAGAAAAUCAAACAUGAAUAUGAAGAUGAUGAUGGAUCAGACAUGGAUCUUGUUAAAGGCGGUAUAAAGAGGCAUAACUUCAAAAGAGGUCCAUGGGUCAAAGAGUCAUCGGGCUCUUGGUUCAAUCGGAGCAGCAACAACGCCUGGGCGUCUGUACAAAGGGAAGAAAAUGCCUGGUCAAAUGGGAGGAACAAAAACCAAGAUCCGAAAACUUAAGAUUGUCAAAAUCGUCACUGAUUUGUUUGUUGUGAUUAAGAAAUAGGUGGUACUUAGUUGGAUUAUCCUUGUUAGUAUGUUAAUGACAUUUUCGGUAGUAUGUACUUGUUGAUGUUUGGCUGAAUAUGAGAAUUUUCUAUGUUAUGGAUUU
Molecule: long non-coding RNA, 545 nt
Organism: Helianthus annuus (common sunflower)
Lineage: Eukaryota; Viridiplantae; Streptophyta; Magnoliopsida; Asterales; Asteraceae
Exons: 2
Source: RefSeq, a predicted model, not a curated record